CCGAGGCGGGACCGCUGUCUGCCGCCGCAUCCCCGCCGCGACGGGCGGCUCGAAGUCGGCUUCGUUCUGCUCCGCGCCGCCGCCCGCUGCUCCGGCACCAUGUCCCUCUGCAGGGCCGCCUCGCAGGCGCUGGCCUCCCGCCUGAGCAGGGCUCCUGCCGCCGCCGGCCGCCUCAAGCAGCGUGCACCUCCUCGCCAGAUGUCAUCUGGGAGUGUUCCUGGCUCUUCUAGAGACAGCAUGAUGAUCUAUCUCCUUGCUGGUGUUGCUGCUUUUGGUGGUUUAUUUUAUCUUACUUCUAGCCCUCUCCCCCAAGAUCUGAGAUAG
Molecule: long non-coding RNA, 324 nt
Filed under: Lonchura striata (white-rumped munia)
Lineage: Eukaryota; Metazoa; Chordata; Aves; Passeriformes; Estrildidae
Description: domestica (Bengalese finch) lncRNA (ENSLSDG00000003761.1)
Source: RNAcentral